CCUACGGGAGGCAGCAGUGGGGGAUAUUGCGCAAUGGGGGAAAGCCUGAUGCAGCGACGCCGCGUGAGCGAAGAAGUAUUUCGGUAUGUAAAGCCCUAUCAGCAGGGAAGAACAAAUGACGGUACCUGAGUAAGAAGCACCGGCUAAAUACGUCCCAGCAGCCCCGGUAAUACGUAGGGUGCAAGCGUUAUCCGGAUUUACUGGGUGUAAAGGGAGCGCAGGCGGUACCGUAAGCCUGAUGUGAAAGGCAGCGGCGCAACCGCGGGGAUGCAUUGGGAACUACCGGGCUGGAGUGCCGGAGAGGUAGGCGGAAUUCCUAGUGUAGCGGUGAAAUGCGCAGAGAUUAGGAGGAACACCAGUGGCGAAGGCGGCCUACUGGACGGUGACUGACGCUGAGGCGCGAAAGCGUGGGGAGCAAACAGGAUUAGAUACCCUAGUAGUC
RNAcentral lists this ribosomal RNA (442 nucleotides) under uncultured bacterium. RNAcentral's name for it is "partial 16S ribosomal RNA". It matches the Rfam family "Bacterial small subunit ribosomal RNA", at positions 338 to 795 of the family's 1533-position model. The record is from RNAcentral.